CCGAGUUAGGGUCCUCUCACGGCCCGACCUCCCAACCCCUUGUUUAAUUAUACCAUUUGUUGCUUCGGCGGGACGGUCUUCCCAGACCGCCGGAGGGUGCGCACCGCCCCUCUGGAGAGUUUGCCCGCCGACGGCCCCCCUUCAAAAAUCUUGAACCCAACCGUGACGCCUAAAGUGAUUAUUGUAUAAUGUACAAAAAUA
Molecule: unclassified non-coding RNA, 201 nt
Filed under: uncultured Exophiala
Lineage: Eukaryota; Fungi; Ascomycota; Eurotiomycetes; Chaetothyriales; Herpotrichiellaceae
Description: sequence contains ITS1
Source: RNAcentral